GCGCGAAAACUUUACAAUGCUGGCAACAGCGAUAAGGGAACCUCGAGUGCCAGGUUACAAAUCUGGCUGUCGAGAUGCCUAAAAAGCAUUUCAUAGCAAGGGCCGGGCAAGACCGGUGCCAGCCGCCGCGGUAACACCGGCGGCUCGAGUGGUAACCGUUAUUAUUGGGUCUAAAGGGUCUGUAGCCGGCCGGAUAAGUCUCUUGAGAAAUCUGGCAGCUUAACUGUCAGGCUUUCAGGAGAUACUGUCUGGCUCGAGGCCGGGAGAGGUGAGAGGUACUUCGAGGGGUAGGGUGAAAUCUUGUAAUCCUUGAAGGACCACCAGUGGCGAAGGCGUCUCACCAGAACGGACCUGACGGCAAGGCGAAAGCAGGGGCACGAACCGGAUUAGAGACCCCGAG
Molecule: ribosomal RNA, 400 nt
Filed under: uncultured bacterium
Lineage: Bacteria
Description: bacterial SSU rRNA
Rfam family: Archaeal small subunit ribosomal RNA
Source: RNAcentral